RNAcentral lists this transfer RNA (54 nucleotides) under Ligilactobacillus agilis DSM 20509. Its description in RNAcentral is "Lactobacillus agilis DSM 20509 tRNA". It matches the Rfam family "tRNA", at positions 1 to 52 of the family's 71-position model. From Rfam's summary of the family: Transfer RNA (tRNA) molecules are approximately 80 nucleotides in length. Their secondary structure includes four short double-helical elements and three loops (D, anti-codon, and T loops). Lineage: Bacteria; Bacillati; Bacillota; Bacilli; Lactobacillales; Lactobacillaceae. The record is from Rfam by way of RNAcentral.
GGGGCUUUAGCUCAGUUGGGAGAGCGCCUGCUUUGCAAGCAGGAGGUCAUCGGU